Molecule: ribosomal RNA, 255 nt
Filed under: uncultured bacterium
Lineage: Bacteria
Description: partial 16S ribosomal RNA
Rfam family: Bacterial small subunit ribosomal RNA
Source: RNAcentral
UACGUAGGGACCAAGCGUUGUUCGGAUUUACUGGGCGUAAAGGGCGCGUAGGCGGCGUGGUAAGUCACUUGUGAAAUCUCUGAGCUUAAACUCAGAACGGCCAAGUGAUACUGCUGUGCUAGAGUGCAGAAGGGGCAAUCGGAAUUCUUGGUGUAGCGGUGAAAUGCGUAGAUAUCAAGAGGAACACCUGAGGUGAAGACGGGGUUGCUGGGCUGACACUGACGCUGAUGCGCGAAAGCCAGGGGAGCAAACGGG